AAUGAACGCUGGCGGCGUGCCUAAUACAUGCAAGUCGAGCGAACCGACGAGGAGCUUUCUCCUCUGACGUUAUCGGCGGACGGGUGAUUACCACGUGGUUAACCUACCUAUACGACUGGGAUAAUUUCGGGAAACCGGAGCUACUACCGGAUAAUAUAUUGAAUCUCAUGGUUCAAUAGUGAAAGAAGGUAUUGCUGUCACUUAUAGAUGGAUCCGCACCGCAUUAGUUAGUUGGUAAGGUAACGGCUUACCAAGGCGACGAUGCGUAGCCGACCUGAGCGGGUGGACGGACACACGGGAACUGAGACAGGGUCCAGACUCCGACGGGGGGAAGCAGUAGGGAAUCUUCCGCGAUGGACGAGUGGCUGACGGAGCAAAGCCGGGGGAGUGAUGAAGGACGUAGGAUCGGAAAACUCUGUAAGUAUGGAAGAAGAAAUGUGUAAGUAACUAGGCUCGUCUUGACAGUACCGAAUCAGAAAGCCACGGCUAACUACGUG
RNAcentral lists this ribosomal RNA (497 nucleotides) under uncultured bacterium. RNAcentral describes it as "partial 16S ribosomal RNA". It matches the Rfam family "Bacterial small subunit ribosomal RNA", at positions 29 to 507 of the family's 1533-position model. The record is from RNAcentral.